This 557-nucleotide ribosomal RNA is filed under the name Bacillus sp. RZ3MS5. RNAcentral's name for it is "bacterial SSU rRNA". It matches the Rfam family "Bacterial small subunit ribosomal RNA", at positions 57 to 596 of the family's 1533-position model. The record is from RNAcentral. Lineage: Bacteria; Bacillati; Bacillota; Bacilli; Caryophanales; Bacillaceae.
GCAGUCGAGCGGACCGACGGGAGCUUGCUCCCUURGGUCAGCGGCGGACGGGUGAGUAACACGUGGGUAACCUGCCUGUAAGACUGGGAUAACUCCGGGAAACCGGGGCUAAUACCGGAUGCUUGAUUGAACCGCAUGGUUCAAUYAUAAAAGGUGGCUUUUAGCUACCACUURCAGAUGGACCCGCGGCGCAUUAGCUAGUUGGUGAGGUAACGGCUCACCAAGGCGACGAUGCGUAGCCGACCUGAGAGGGUGAUCGGCCACACUGGGACUGARACACGGCCCAGACUCCUACGGGAGGCAGCAGUAGGGAAUCUUCCGCAAUGGACGAAAGUCUGACGGAGCAACGCCSCGUGAGUGAUGAAGGUUUUCGGAUCGUAAAACUCUGUUGUUAGGGAAGAACAAGUACCGUUCGAAUAGGGCGGYACCUUGACGGUACCUAACCAGAAAGCCACGGCUAACUACGUGCCAGCAGCCGCGGUAAUACGUAGGUGGCAAGCGUUGUCCGGAAUUAUUGGGCGUAAAGCGCGCGCAGGCGGUUUCUUAAGUCUGAUGUG